Molecule: ribosomal RNA, 301 nt
Filed under: uncultured bacterium
Lineage: Bacteria
Description: partial 16S ribosomal RNA
Rfam family: Bacterial small subunit ribosomal RNA
Source: RNAcentral
CAGUAGCCGCGGUAAUACGGAGGGUGCAAGCGUUAUCCGGAUUUAUUGGGUUUAAAGGGUCCGUAGGCGGACUUAUAAGUCAGUGGUGAAAGCCUGUCGCUUAACGAUAGAACUGCCAUUGAUACUGUAAGUCUUGAGUAUAUUUGAGGUAGCUGGAAUAAGUAGUGUAGCGGUGAAAUGCAUAGAUAUUACUUAGAACACCAAUUGCGAAGGCAGGUUACCAAGAUAUAACUGACGCUGAGGGACGAAAGCGUGGGUAGCGAACAGGAUUAAAUACCCCUGUAGUCCCUGUCUCUUAUAC